ACAUCCCUCUGACCUACUGUGUAAUGCAGUAUCUCUUCGGAGCAGAGGUGACAGGUGGUGCAUGGUUGUCGUCAGCUCGUGUCGUGAGAUGUUGGGUUAAGUCCCGCAAACGAGCGCAACCCUUGUCCUUAGUAGCCAGCAGUCAGAUGGGCACUCUAGGGAGACUGCCGGAGAUAAUCCGGAGGAAGGUGGGGAUGACGUCAAAUCAUCAUGCCCCUUAUGAGCAGGGCUACACACGUGCUACAAUGGCGUAAACAAAGGGACGCGAAACCGUGAGGUCUAGCAAAUCCCAAAAAUAACGUCUCAGUUCGGAUUGUAGUCUGCAACUCGACUACAUGAAGCUGGAAUCGCUAGUAAUCGCGA
RNAcentral lists this ribosomal RNA (363 nucleotides) under uncultured bacterium. RNAcentral describes it as "bacterial SSU rRNA". It matches the Rfam family "Bacterial small subunit ribosomal RNA", at positions 984 to 1347 of the family's 1533-position model. The record is from RNAcentral.